Molecule: ribosomal RNA, 406 nt
Filed under: uncultured bacterium
Lineage: Bacteria
Description: partial 16S ribosomal RNA
Rfam family: Bacterial small subunit ribosomal RNA
Source: RNAcentral
AUUGAACGCUGGCGGCAGGCUUAACACAUGCAAGUCGAGCGAGCGGCGGACGGGUGAGUAAUGUCUGGGAAACUGCCUGAUGGAGGGGGAUAACUACUGGAAACGGUAGCUAAUACCGCAUACCAUCAGAUGUGCCCAGAUGGGAUUAGCUAGUAGGUGGGGUAAAGGCUCACCUAGGCGACGAUCCCUAGCUGGUCUGAGAGGAUGACCAGCAACACGGGAACUGAGACCGGGCCCAGACCCCAAGGGGGGGCAGAGGGGGGGAAUAUUGCACAAUGGGCGCAAGCUGAAUGCACCCAUGCCGCGUGUGUGAAGAAGGCCUUCGGGUUGAAAAGCACUUUCAGCGAGGAGGCGUUACUCGCAGAAGAAGCACCGGCUAACUCCGUGCCAGCAGCCGCGGUAAUAC